This 1097-nucleotide ribosomal RNA is filed under the name Phacidiopycnis washingtonensis. Its description in RNAcentral is "SSU rRNA". It matches the Rfam family "Eukaryotic small subunit ribosomal RNA", at positions 38 to 1148 of the family's 1831-position model. Lineage: Eukaryota; Fungi; Ascomycota; Leotiomycetes; Phacidiales; Phacidiaceae. The record is from RNAcentral.
CAAAGAUAAGCCAUGCAUGUCUAAGUAUAAGCAAUUUUAUACUGUGAAACUGCGAAUGGCUCAUUAAAUCAGUUAUCGUUUAUUUGAUAGUACCUUACUACUUGGAUAACCGUGGUAAUUCUAGAGCUAAUACAUGCUAAAAACCUCGACUUCGGAAGGGGUGUAUUUAUUAGAUAAAAAACCAAUGCCCUUCGGGGCUCCUUGGUGAUUCAUAAUAACUUAACGAAUCGCAUGGCCUUGUGCCGGCGAUGGUUCAUUCAAAUUUCUGCCCUAUCAACUUUCGAUGGUAGGAUAGUGGCCUACCAUGGUUUCAACGGGUAACGGGGAAUUAGGGUUCUAUUCCGGAGAGGGAGCCUGAGAAACGGCUACCACAUCCAAGGAAGGCAGCAGGCGCGCAAAUUACCCAAUCCCGACACGGGGAGGUAGUGACAAUAAAUACUGAUACAGGGCUCUUUUGGGUCUUGUAAUUGGAAUGAGUACAAUUUAAAUCCCUUAACGAGGAACAAUUGGAGGGCAAGUCUGGUGCCAGCAGCCGCGGUAAUUCCAGCUCCAAUAGCGUAUAUUAAAGUUGUUGCAGUUAAAAAGCUCGUAGUUGAACCUUGGGCCUGGCUGGCCGGUCCGCCUCACCGCGUGCACUGGUCCGGCCGGGCCUUUCCUUCUGGGGAGCCGCAUGCCCUUCACUGGGUGUGUCGGGGAACCAGGACUUUUACUUUGAAAAAAUUAGAGUGUUCAAAGCAGGCCUAUGCUCGAAUACAUUAGCAUGGAAUAAUAGAAUAGGACGUGUGGUUCUAUUUUGUUGGUUUCUAGGACCGCCGUAAUGAUUAAUAGGGAUAGUCGGGGGCAUCAGUAUUCAAUUGUCAGAGGUGAAAUUCUUGGAUUUAUUGAAGACUAACUACUGCGAAAGCAUUUGCCAAGGAUGUUUUCAUUAAUCAGUGAACGAAAGUUAGGGGAUCGAAGACGAUCAGAUACCGUCGUAGUCUUAACCAUAAACUAUGCCGACUAGGGAUCGGGCGAUGUUAUCUUUUUGACUCGCUCGGCACCUUACGAGAAAUCAAAGUCUUUGGGUCUGGGGGAGUAUGUCGCAAGCUGAAACUAAG